AGUUGUGUAUGUAUACAUUCGUGUAUUUUGUUAUUCAACUACCCUCCUUCUAAAUUCGAUAUAUGAGUAUUAAUUUACUUGUAUAUGGUUUUAGACGUUUACUGUGAGAAAAUUAGAGUGUUCAAAGCAGGCAUUUGCUUGAAUAUAUUAGCAUGGAAUAAUCAUGUAUGAUUUUCAUGAUGUAUUUGAUUGGUUUGGUUCAUGAGAAUAAGAUUAAAAGGGACAGUUGGGGGUAUUCAUAUUCAAUAGUCAGAGGUGAAAUUCUCGGAUUUAUGGAAGAUGAACAAGUGCGAAAGCAUUUACCAAGGAUGUUUUCAUUAAUCAAGAACGAAAGUUAGGGGAUCGAAGAGGAUUAGAUACCCUCGUAGUCUUAACUAUAAACGAUACCGACUAGAGGUUAGUGAAGGUCAUUGUGUCUUGACUAGUAUCUUAUGAGA
Molecule: ribosomal RNA, 437 nt
Filed under: Blastocystis sp. subtype 3
Lineage: Eukaryota; Bigyra; Opalinata; Blastocystidae
Description: bacterial SSU rRNA
Rfam family: Eukaryotic small subunit ribosomal RNA
Source: RNAcentral